AGUUGGUUAGGUAAUGGCUUACCAAGCCGUUGAUCGGUACGGGUUGUGAGAGCAAGAGCCCGGAGAUGGAACCUGAGACAAGGUUCCAGGCCCUACGGGGUGCAGCAGGCGCGAAACCUCCGCAAUGUGAGAAAUCGCGACGGGGGGAUCCCAAGUGCCAUUCUUAACGGGAUGGCUUUUCAUUAGUGUAAAGAGCUUUUGGAAUAAGGGCUGGGCAAGACCGGUGCCAGCCGCCGCGGUAACACCGGCAGCUCUAGUGGUAGCAGUUUUUAUUGGGCCUAAAGCGUCCGUAGCCGGUUUAAUAAGUCUCUGGUGAAAUCCUGUAGCUUAACUGUGGGAAUUGCUGGAGAUACUAUUAGACUUGAGACCGGGAGAGGUUAGAGGUACUCCCAGGGUAGAGGUGAAAUUCUGUAAUCCUGGGAGGACCGCCUGUUGCGAAGGCGUCUAACUGGAACGGUUCUGACGGUGAGGGACGAAAGUUAGGGGCGCGAACCGGAUUAGAUACCCGGGUAGUCCUAACCGUAAACGAUGCGGACUUGGUGUUGGGGUGGCUUUGAGCUGCUCCAGUGCCGAAGGGAAGCUGUUAAGUCCGCCGCCUGGGAAGUACGGUCGCAAGACUGAAACUUAA
RNAcentral lists this ribosomal RNA (628 nucleotides) under uncultured archaeon. Its description in RNAcentral is "bacterial SSU rRNA". It matches the Rfam family "Archaeal small subunit ribosomal RNA", at positions 231 to 859 of the family's 1478-position model. The record is from RNAcentral.